CACUGACAUUAGAUACCCGUGUAGUCCCAGCCGUAAACUAUGCGCGUUAGGUGUACUGGUGACCACGAGUCACCGGGGUGCCGAAGGGAAACCGUGAAACGUGCCGCCUGGGAAGUACGGUCGCAAGGCUGAAACUUAAAGGAAUUGGCGGGGAGCACCACAACAGGUGGAGCCUGCGGUUUAAUUGGACUCAACGCCGGGAAGCUCACCGGAUAGGACAGCAGAAUGAUUGCCGGGCUGAAGACCCUGCAUGACUAGCUG
This 261-nucleotide ribosomal RNA is filed under the name uncultured archaeon. Its description in RNAcentral is "partial 16S ribosomal RNA". It matches the Rfam family "Archaeal small subunit ribosomal RNA", at positions 720 to 982 of the family's 1478-position model. The record is from RNAcentral.